Molecule: non-coding RNA, 48 nt
Organism: Schistosoma mansoni
Lineage: Eukaryota; Metazoa; Platyhelminthes; Trematoda; Strigeidida; Schistosomatidae
Source: Rfam
AUUCAGCUGACGAGUCUGAAAUUGGACGAAACGCGCGUCAAACUGGAC